UGUAUGGUCGUUAACAUUGAUGGUUUUAUACCCAAACCAUCCGCCUGGGAACUACAGGCAAUAGCUUAAAACCCAAAGGACUUGGGGUGCUUUAGACCCCUAGAGGAGCCUGUUCUAGAACUGAUAAGCCCCGUUUAACCACACCAUCCUUUGUUUUCCCCGCCUAUAUACCACCGUCGUCAGCUUACCCUGA
Molecule: ribosomal RNA, 193 nt
Filed under: Gadus macrocephalus (Pacific cod)
Lineage: Eukaryota; Metazoa; Chordata; Actinopteri; Gadiformes; Gadidae
Description: partial small subunit ribosomal RNA
Source: RNAcentral